This 788-nucleotide ribosomal RNA is filed under the name uncultured bacterium. Its description in RNAcentral is "bacterial SSU rRNA". It matches the Rfam family "Bacterial small subunit ribosomal RNA", at positions 105 to 896 of the family's 1533-position model. The record is from RNAcentral.
GGUGAGUAACACGUAGGUAAUCUGCCUUCAGGCCCGACAUAACCCCGCGAAAGCAGGGCUAAUAUCGGAUGAUGCAGCGGCUUGGCAUCUGGACAGUUGUUAAAGCUUCGGCGCCUGGAGAUGAGCCUGCGUCCCAUUAGGUAGUUGGCGGGGUAAUGGCCCACCAAGCCCACGAUGGGUAGCUGGUCUGAGAGGAUGAUCAGCCACACUGGAACUGAGACACGGUCCAGACUCCUACGGGAGGCAGCAGUAAGGAAUAUUGCUCAAUGGCCGAAAGGCUGAAGCAGCAACGCCGCGUGAAGGAUGGAGACCUUUUGGUUGUAAACUUCUGUAGAGAGGGAGAAAACCCCCGUUCUUCGGGGAUUGAUAGUACCUCUAAAGUAAGCCCCGGCUAACUACGUGCCAGCAGCCGCGGUAAUACGUAGGGGGCAAGCGUUGUGCGGAUUUACUGGGUGUAAAGGGUGCUCAGGUGGUUGUGUAAGUCAGGGGUGAAAUCCUGGAGCUUAACUCCGGAACUGCUCUUGAUACUACAUAGCUUGUGUACAGAAGAGGCUGAUGGAAUUCCUGGUGUAGCAGUGAAAUGCGUAGAUAUCAGGAAGAACACCAGUGGCGAAGGCGGUCAGCUGGUCUGUUACAGACACUAAAGCACGAAAGCGUGGGGAGCAAACAGGAUUAGAUACCCUGCUAGUCCACGCCCUAAACUAUGAAUACUAGACGUUGGGUGUAAAAACUCAGUGUCGGAGCUAACGCAUUAAGUAUUCCACCUGGGGAGUACGAUCGCAAGGUUG